UCGGCCCACCAAGGCAACGAUCAGUAGGGGUUCUGAGAGGAAGGUCCCCCCACAUUGGAAGUGAGACACGGUCCAAACUCUUACGGGAGGCAGCAGUGAGGAAUAUUGGUCACUGGGCGAGAGCCUGAACCAGCCAAGUAGCGUGCAGGAUGACGGCCCUAUGGGUUGUAAACUGCUUUUAUAAGGGAAUAAAGUGAGUCUCGUGAGACUUUUUGCAUGUACCUUAUGAAUAAGGACCGGCUAAUUCCGUGCCAGCAGCCGCGGUAAUACGGAAGGUCCGGGCGUUAUCCGGAUUUAUUGGGUUUAAAGGGAGCGUAGGCCGGAGAUUAAGCGUGUUGUGAAAUGUAGACGCUCAACGUUUGCAAUGCAGCGCGAACUGGUUUCCUUGAGUACGCACAAAGUGGGCGGAAUUCGUGGUGUAGCGGUGAAAUGCUUAGAUAUCACGAAGAACUCCGAUUGCGAAGGCAGCUCACUGGAGCGCAACUGACGGUGAAGCUAGAAAGUGCGGGUAUCGAACAGGAUUAGAUCCCCUGGUAGUCCGCACGGUAAACGAUGGAUGCCCGCUGUUGGUUUGAAUAGGUCAGCGGCCAAGCGAAAGCAUUAAGCAUCCCACCUGGGGAGUACGCCGGCAACGGUGAAACUCAAAGGAAUUGACGG
This 657-nucleotide ribosomal RNA is filed under the name uncultured bacterium. Its description in RNAcentral is "bacterial SSU rRNA". It matches the Rfam family "Bacterial small subunit ribosomal RNA", at positions 260 to 916 of the family's 1533-position model. The record is from RNAcentral.